RNAcentral lists this ribosomal RNA (247 nucleotides) under uncultured Lactobacillus sp. Its description in RNAcentral is "partial 16S ribosomal RNA". It matches the Rfam family "Bacterial small subunit ribosomal RNA", at positions 796 to 1041 of the family's 1533-position model. Lineage: Bacteria; Bacillati; Bacillota; Bacilli; Lactobacillales; Lactobacillaceae. The record is from RNAcentral.
CAUGCCGUAAACGAUGAGUGCUAGGUGUUGGAGGGUUUCCGCCCUUCAGUGCCGCAGCUAACGCAUUAAGCACUCCGCCUGGGGAGUACGACCGCAAGGUUGAAACUCAAAGGAAUUGACGGGGGCCCGCACAAGCGGUGGAGCAUGUGGUUUAAUUCGAAGCUACGCGAAGAACCUUACCAGGUCUUGACAUCUUGCGCUAACCUCAGAGAUGAGGUGUUCCCUUCGGGGACGCAAUGACAGGUGG